UUGGAUUUAGGCAGAUUUUAGGCAGAGCGCCUGCUUUGGGAGCAGGAUGUCGCGGGUUCAAAUACUGGAAACCAAA
RNAcentral lists this transfer RNA (76 nucleotides) under Cyanobacteria bacterium UBA11691. RNAcentral describes it as "tRNA-Pro". The record is from RNAcentral. Lineage: Bacteria; Bacillati; Cyanobacteriota.